ACGGAAGGCAGCAGUGGGGAAUAUUGCACAAUGGGGGAAACCCUGAUGCAGCGACGCCGCGUGAGUGAAGAAGUAUUUCGGUAUGUAAAGCUCUAUCAGCAGGGAAGAUAAUGACGGUACCUGACUAAGAAGCCCCGGCUAACUACGUGCCAGCAGCCGCGGUAAUACGUAGGGGGCAAGCGUUAUCCGGAUUUACUGGGUGUAAAGGGGGCGUAGGUGGUAUGGCAAGUCAGAAGUGAAAACCCGGGGCUCAACCCCGUGGAUUGCUUUUGAAACUGUCAAACUAGAGUACCGGAGAGGUAAGCGGAAUUCCUAGUGUAGCGGUGAAAUGCGUAGAUAUUAGGAGGAACACCAGUGGCGAAGGCGGCUUACUGGACGGUAACUGACACUGAGGCACGAAAGCGUGGGGAGCAAACAGGAUUAGAUACCCUGGUA
This 435-nucleotide ribosomal RNA is filed under the name uncultured Coprococcus sp. Its description in RNAcentral is "partial 16S ribosomal RNA". It matches the Rfam family "Bacterial small subunit ribosomal RNA", at positions 341 to 792 of the family's 1533-position model. Lineage: Bacteria; Bacillati; Bacillota; Clostridia; Lachnospirales; Lachnospiraceae. The record is from RNAcentral.